Molecule: transfer RNA, 72 nt
Filed under: Minisyncoccota bacterium
Lineage: Bacteria; Bacillati; Minisyncoccota
Description: tRNA-Asn
Rfam family: tRNA
About the family: Transfer RNA (tRNA) molecules are approximately 80 nucleotides in length. Their secondary structure includes four short double-helical elements and three loops (D, anti-codon, and T loops). Further hydrogen bonds mediate the characteristic L-shaped molecular structure. tRNAs have two regions of fundamental functional importance: the anti-codon, which is responsible for specific mRNA codon recognition, and the 3' end, to which the tRNAs corresponding amino acid is attached (by aminoacyl-tRNA synthetases). tRNAs cope with the degeneracy of the genetic code in two manners: having more than one tRNA (with a specific anti-codon) for a particular amino acid; and 'wobble' base-pairing, i.e. permitting non-standard base-pairing at the 3rd anti-codon position.
Source: RNAcentral
UCCGUGGUAGCUCAGCGGUAGAGCAGCUCGCUGUUAACGAGUUGGUCGCAGGUUCGAUCCCUGCCCACGGAG